CUGAAUUAUAUGAGUAAGUCAGACCUUCCAAGAACAUUGAGUUGCCAACUCUGUUGAGAUGGAAAGAUUGCCUGAGCUGUGGAUCCACCUUGCAGAAUGCUGUCCAUUGCAUCAGUCCCUGAGCUAAGCAGGUCCUCGAAUGGGCUGCAGAGCAGAGCUCCAUGCUGGAAGUUAGGGGCAUGAGUGGUAGCACCUUGUCAAGUUGGUGCCAAAGAAGAAUUAGGCGUUUAGCGGGACAAGUGACGGCUUUGCCUGUCGACAGCGUGAUCUGACUUAAAGAGGGCGAUUUUAAAGUGACACAGUACCGAAGCAUGGCCAUGUGAGCAGUGCAAUAACUAGAUGCUUUCAAAGAGAGUCUUCAGACCAGCAAACCUGCAAGGUUUUCU
Eptesicus fuscus (big brown bat) is the source of this 386-nucleotide long non-coding RNA. RefSeq lists it as uncharacterized. The record is from RefSeq and is a predicted model, not a curated record. The transcript has 3 exons. NCBI's taxonomy places the organism in Eukaryota, Metazoa, Chordata, Mammalia, Chiroptera, Vespertilionidae.